CUGGCAUCAGCACUGGCACAUUUUAUGGAAGAAAGAAAUACAGCUCUUUGUCAGAGAGAAUACUUUCCAGGGAGAUUCAGACAUAGAGUUCUCUGAAGAUGAGAGUCCAGUGAGCAAGACAGGAGAGGGUGAGAACCCAGAUAAGGAAUCAGAUGAAGAUGACCAAGACACAGAACUAGUGGAAGUCGACCAAGACCCAGGGCCAGCUGAAGUGUGCCGUAGUCCUCUAUGGGCCAAAACUACCAUGUUCUUGCCUGUGUUAGAAGAGCACAGAAUUGCAGAAGAUGGUCCCCCUGUAACCCGUAGUAAUUGGAGCCCACAGCAGUAUUUCCAGCAGUACAUUGACAAUGAACUAAUUCAGGACCUGUCCUUCAUCAACCAACGUAUGGUACAGGAUUCAGGCUUAAGCACAACACCAGAAGAAAUCAAGACCUUUUUAGGAAUCUCGAAAAUAUGGUGCGAUCCACUUGCCUGAAAUGGUUGCCAGUCCAAAUCCUUCCAGAUGCAGAAUGCCUGGGUGCACUAGUAGAACCUAUGUGAGAUGUGUUAAAUGUGACAUGUUCCUAUGUGUCUCCAAAAAGUCACAGUGCUUCCUCACAUAUCACAAAUGAAUUGGUAUUUGUGAACUGGCAAACCAAAUGUUCAUCAUAGGGCUAUGGCCAGUGAAAAGUUGAAUGAGUUGUAUGUGUAUUUGACCCUGACUGAGUUGUAUCCUAUGUUUUUGUGAAGUUUUUAUGCAGUUUGUGUGUGUUGUGUUGAUAUCCAGGCAGAUUUUUAAUUCUGUUGAUGUUUUAGGGUCGGGAUGAAUUAAGUCCCGUUGUACACUACAGUUCACAUUAUAAAACAUUAAUGAAAUUAUGAAAAAAUCUAAAAUCUUUGCAAUGUGUUUUUUUACCACCCCAACACAUCCUUUAUAUAAAAAAAAUCUAAACACCUUUCCCCCCCCCCAGGUCUCAGGAGGAUAUAGGUGGUGCAUUGUGGGAUUGUUGACGGUGAUGUACGCUGUCUGCUGUUACCUAACUGCCAACAUUUUUCGAAUUUACUCUUGUUGAGAUAAAUGAAGUUUAAAUAAUGCUGAUUUAAUAACCAUGUAUUCUUAUGUUUUUGUUUUAUUAAAUUGUAUGCUGCAGCCAGGUUAGGGAAAUAUGAAUACACAGAUUGAAUACAAUAACCAUAAAAAGUUUAGAACUCCAUACAUUACACUCAGACUUUACACCUGGCUGAGAUAGAGAGACAGGAUUAAAACCCCACAAUUAACAUACAAAUGAAACUGCCUCCUAUACAGCACAAAGAGACCUUCUGUCUCCAGCCCCCUGAUGUUCUAGUCUAGGUUAGGACAAUAAAAUGUAAAUUACUGUAACCUGGUUAAGAUUUCACACCUGUAUGCAAAUAACCUGUUGAUCUAUGACUGAGAGUAAGAGCAUGCUCUUCUUCAUGGUACAGCGAAAACAAAGAGAUUCGUCCAACAUGUCACCAUGCCAACAAAGAACCAAUAAGGAAGGGUUUUACUCACGAGAGUGAAAAGUAACCGCCCCUGUGGCGGGAGUAUUAAAAACAAUGUUCGAUCUUGAUUCGGGGCGAAUAUUUUGUGGAAGCUCGAGGGUUGAGCAAAAUAUUUGACCGCUGC
Molecule: long non-coding RNA, 1627 nt
Organism: Esox lucius (northern pike)
Lineage: Eukaryota; Metazoa; Chordata; Actinopteri; Esociformes; Esocidae
Source: Ensembl